This 1485-nucleotide ribosomal RNA is filed under the name uncultured bacterium. RNAcentral's name for it is "bacterial SSU rRNA". It matches the Rfam family "Bacterial small subunit ribosomal RNA". The record is from RNAcentral.
AGAGUUUGAUCCUGGCUCAGGAUGAACGCUAGCGGCAGGCUUAAUACAUGCAAGUCGAGGGGCAGCACGGGUAGCAAUACCUGGUGGCGACCGGCGCACGGGUGCGUAACGCGUAUGUAAUCUACCAUUAACCGGGGAAUAGCCCAGAGAAAUCUGGAUUAAUGCCCCAUAGUAUUAUCGAAAGGCAUCUUUUGAUAAUUAAAGCUCAGGCGGUUUUUGAUGAACAUGCGUGUCAUUAGUUUGUUGGUGAGGUAACGGCUCACCAAGACUACGAUGACUAGGGGGUCUGAGAGGAUGAUCCCCCACACUGGUACUGAGACACGGACCAGACUCCUACGGGAGGCAGCAGUAAGGAAUAUUGGGCAAUGGAGGCAACUCUGACCCAGCCAUCCCGCGUGCAGGAUGACGGCCCUAUGGGUUGUAAACUGCUUUUGUACCUGAAGAAUAGGCCCAACGAGUUGGGAUUUGCCGGUAAGGUAUGAAUAAGCAUCGGCUAACUCCGUGCCAGCAGCCGCGGUAAUACGGAGGAUCCAAGCGUUAUCCGGAUUUACUGGGUUUAAAGGGUGCGUAGGCGGAUUGAUAAGUCAGUGGUGAAAGCCUGCAGCUUAACUGCAGAACUGCCAUUGAUACUGCCAGUCUGGAGUAUGGUUGAGGUAGCUGGAAUGUGUCAUGUAGCGGUGAAAUGCUUAGAGAUGACACAGAACACCGACGGCGAAGGCAGGUUACUAAACUGAUACUGACGCUGAUGCACGAAAGCGUGGGGAGCGAACAGGAUUAGAUACCCUGGUAGUCCACGCCGUAAACGAUGCUCACUCGCUGUUUGCGAUACACAGCAAGCGGCCAAGCGAAAGCAUUAAGUGAGCCACCUGGGGAGUACGAUCGCAAGGUUGAAACUCAAAGGAAUUGACGGGGGCCCGCACAAGCGGAGGAACAUGUGGUUUAAUUCGACGCAACGCGAAGAACCUUACCUGGGCUUAAAUGUAGAGCGACAGAGAUUGUGAAAGCAGUCCUUCUUCGGACGAUCUACAAGGUGCUGCAUGGUUGUCGUCAGCUCGUGCCGUGAGGUGUUAGGUUAAGUCCUGCAACGAGCGCAACCCUUACCUUUAGUUGCCAGCAUGUAAUGAUGGGGACUCUAACGAGACUGCCUACGCAAGUAGUGAGGAAGGUGGGGAUGACGUCAAAUCAGCACGGCCCUUAUGUCCAGGGCGACACACGUGCUACAAUGGCCGAUACAAAGGGCAGCUACCAGGUGACUGGAUGCGAAUCUUUAAAAUCGGUCUCAGUUCGGAUCGGAGUCUGCAACUCGACUCCGUGAAGUCGGAUUCGCUAGUAAUCGCGCAUCAGCCAUGGCGCGGUGAAUACGUUCCCGGGCCUUGUACACACCGCCCGUCAAGCCAUGGAAGUUGGGGGUGCCUAAAGUUCGUGACCGCAAGGAGCGACCUAGGGUAAAACCAAUGACUGGGGCUAAGUCGUAACAAGGUAACC